GGACGCAUCACUGGUGUUCGGGUUGUCAUGCCAAUGGCACUGCCCGGUAGCUAAAUGCGGAAGAGAUAAGUGCUGAAAGCAUCUAAGCACGAAACUUGCCCCGAGAUGAGUUCUCCCUGAGACUUUAAGUCUCCUGAAGGAACGUUGAAGACGACGACGUUGAUAGGCCGGGUGUGUAAGCGCAGCGAUGCGUUGAGCUAACCGGUACUAAUGAACCGUGAGGCUUAACCUUACAACGCCGA
This 242-nucleotide ribosomal RNA is filed under the name Salmonella enterica. RNAcentral describes it as "partial 23S ribosomal RNA". It matches the Rfam family "Bacterial large subunit ribosomal RNA", at positions 2699 to 2925 of the family's 2925-position model. The record is from RNAcentral. Lineage: Bacteria; Pseudomonadati; Pseudomonadota; Gammaproteobacteria; Enterobacterales; Enterobacteriaceae.